GUUCCGUAGGUGAACCUGCGGAAGGAUCAUUACAGAGUUCAUGCCCUCACGGGUAGAUCUCCAACCCUUGAAUAUUUAUACCUUAGUUGCUUUGGCAGGCCGUGGAAACACCAUGGGCUCCGGCUUAUGCGUGCCUGCCAGAGGAAACAAACUCUGUUUUUAGUGAUGUCUGAGUACUAUAUACUAGUUAAAACUUUCAACAACGGAUCUCUUGGUUCUG
Molecule: unclassified non-coding RNA, 220 nt
Filed under: plant metagenome
Description: partial contains small subunit ribosomal RNA, internal transcribed spacer 1, and 5.8S ribosomal RNA
Source: RNAcentral